AUUGAACGCUGGCGGCAGGCUUAACACAUGCAAGUCGAGCGAGCGGCGGACGGGUGAGUAAUGUCUGGGAAACUGCCUGAUGGAGGGGGAUAACUACUGGAAACGGUAGCUAAUACCGCAUACCAUCAGAUGUGCCCAGAUGGGAUUAGCUAGUAGGUGGGGUAAGGGCUCACCUAGGCGACGAUCCCUAGCUGGUCUGAGAGGAUGACCAGCCAAACGGGAAUGAAGACACGGUCCAGAUCCCUACGGGGGGCAGCGUGGGGGAUUAUUGCACAAUGGGCGCAAGCCUGAUGCAGCCAGGCGGGGGGUGGGAAGAAGGCCUUCGGGUUGUAAAGCACUUUCAGCGAGGAGGCGUUACUCGAAGAAGAAGCACCGGCUAACUCCGUGCCAGCAGCCGCGGUAAAC
This 405-nucleotide ribosomal RNA is filed under the name uncultured bacterium. RNAcentral describes it as "partial 16S ribosomal RNA". It matches the Rfam family "Bacterial small subunit ribosomal RNA", at positions 29 to 525 of the family's 1533-position model. The record is from RNAcentral.